UAUCGGUCGGCCGAUAUGAGCUAAUUGCAUUUAAAUCGGCAUCGGCGUUUAUAACGGCCGAUGAAACAUGAGAAACAGAGUCUCAUGCUUCACUCAUGUUAUGAGUGUUGCAUAGUUUGCCCACCAGAGGGAGCUCUGCAACUCCCCAGUUGACAACAGCGCCAGAAAUCCACCGAGAUACGGAGAUGUACUGUUUGAUGGAAGUGACAUCAUCUGGGCUCUUUCUACAGCAUGAUGGGAGGACAAGAAAGAAAUCUCAAUCCAUUAGUCUCAGUUUUUACACAAAUGAAUGACUGCAUUCAUCAACCCUGUUACCAAAGUUACUUCUUUGCAGAUUUCAGCUCUUCCUGAUGCUCUGAUGCUCGUCUGAUGGGAAUAUUCCUGCAUUCAUUGAUGAACUAAUAUGGGAGGAGCUUCACUGAUGAUGUGACUGAUGUGGGAGGAGCUUCACUGAUGAUCUACUGCAGUGGGAGGAGCUGAUCUGCCAAAAUUAAAAAUAUAUCAGUUACUGUGUUUAUAGGGUUAAAGUCCAGAUAUCAAAUUUUAUAUAAAGAUUUAAAAUGACAAUGAAAGAGUAUUUUGGGCUGCACUGUGAUCCUUAAAUACAGUGUUUGAAUGUCAGAAAAUGAUUCUUGUUCUAAAUAAUGACAGUUUUUUUUUCUAUAUUAACCUCUUUUUGUAUUUCACCAAAUAAACUAAUUGCAUUCAGAAUUUAUCCAUCUAUCGUAAAGCAACUGAGGCUAAUUCAGAACAUUUUAUUUCUAAAUCAAACUUUAUUCUGUUUCUUCAUUAAAAUAAUGGCAAAUAUCUAGAAAAGUAGUAAAAAAAAAAAAAGUUGAAAGCAUGAAUACAGAAACACACUUAUUUGUAGUCAUCAAAUCCCCUCAGUCUGUUGACAGCAAUGAAAUGAGCUUUAAGUGUCAAUUUACAGCAGAUCUGAAGACAUCAGCAUAAUAAAUGAGGUGAAAACAGGAACUAUUGACAUGAAAUAAAGAGUGUUUUCAGCAG
Molecule: long non-coding RNA, 1008 nt
Organism: Megalobrama amblycephala (Wuchang bream)
Lineage: Eukaryota; Metazoa; Chordata; Actinopteri; Cypriniformes; Xenocyprididae
Exons: 3
Source: RefSeq, a predicted model, not a curated record